Molecule: ribosomal RNA, 253 nt
Filed under: uncultured bacterium
Lineage: Bacteria
Description: partial 16S ribosomal RNA
Rfam family: Bacterial small subunit ribosomal RNA
Source: RNAcentral
UACGUAGGGGGCAAGCGUUGUCCGGAAUCAUUGGGCGUAAAGAGCGCGUAGGCGGUCCGGUAAGACCGCUCUGAAAGUCCGGGGCUCUACCCCGGGAGGCGGGCGGAUACUGUCGGGCUAGAGUCCGGAAGAGGCGAGUGGAAUUCCUGGUGUAGCGGUGAAAUGCGCAGAUAUCAGGAGGAACACCAAUGGCGAAGGCAGCUUGCUGGGACGGUACUGACGCUGAGGCGCGAAAGCUAGGGGAGCAAACGGG